Zea mays is the source of this 948-nucleotide long non-coding RNA. RefSeq lists it as uncharacterized. The record is from RefSeq and is a predicted model, not a curated record. The transcript has 2 exons. NCBI's taxonomy places the organism in Eukaryota, Viridiplantae, Streptophyta, Magnoliopsida, Poales, Poaceae.
GAAAUUGAACUCACUUGUGUCCUUGUCGGUGUUCGCGUCGCUGAUCUAUGACUGACUCACGUCCGGCGAACGCUAGCCGCGGCCAAGGGUCAUCACACUCCCAGCCAUAGCCGUUGGCCUCGCCUAGGGCUUGGCAUCCGGCUCUCUCUGCUGGCCAAGCCCCAGCACCGGAUCUCGUCCAUCCGUGGCCGCUCCCAUCGAUGGCAAGCUCCGCCAGCCGGUCUGCAUCUCCCUCUUCGGGCGUCGGCCGUCUCCAUCCUCCAGCCGCCGAGCUUCCCCCUGCAUGGACGCGUCUGCGAUGGUCUUCUCCCAUGGACUGAACGUCCAUCCCCCUGCAGCUUGGCCAGGGCACGCCCUCUGUUGGGUCCGCCAGCGAUGAGCGCCGGGAAGGGAGGGUGGGGGGCAUCGCCCAAACUUCACCUCUGAGCCCCUGCAUCAGGUUCCUGACAGCGAAAGCCUAGCACCUGCUGCAACCUACCUGCUCGAUGGAAUGCUCAACCUCUCGCCGGAUCUGUGCAGCUCUUACGCGAUGUCGUUGAACCCGCUAGUUGUUGACACUGCUCCUCGUGCAUCGCUUAUUCGACAAAAAUCCCAAGCCCAUGGACAGCACACGCGACAUGCGCAACCCAAAUCCGAUCGACCAGGUUGUUCGAUGUGUGUGUGUUUUUCUAUCGCUUAUGUGUGUGAUUUGUAGUUUGUUCUAAAUAUGUUCUGGUCGAUGCAGUGUAUAUAUGUGUUUGAAUAUGUUUAGGGGUGAAUGGAAGUGUGUGGAGAAAGAUAGUUAAGUAAAAAGGGAUUAGGAUGUUCAUAUGUUUCCGAUCGUUGUUAGAAGUAAAAUUGAUACAAAGGUUAGGUUGGAAUGUGCGGAUCCGUGUGAUGAACGCAUUUGUUACCUAUGUAUAAAAUAUAUGGUCGAGUAAAUGAAUCGAAUAAUGAGUUAUUUUGUCA